Molecule: long non-coding RNA, 624 nt
Filed under: Eutrema salsugineum
Lineage: Eukaryota; Viridiplantae; Streptophyta; Magnoliopsida; Brassicales; Brassicaceae
Description: long non-coding RNA (ESAL_LNC002118)
Source: RNAcentral
UCCGAUCGCCGCGUAAAUAUACCGGCUCCGUCUCCCGACAAAAUCCGGAUUAACAACGGCGAAAUCGAGGUUCCUGGCGGAGAUCGGAUGACGUGUCACGAUUCCGGUGACGAGAUCGAUCUUCACCUUCUCCACCAAAGCGUGAACCAGAUCCAUCCUCUCCAGAGUAUGCUCAAUCGACAUAAUAUUCGGAGCAAUUAAAACGAUCGAAUCUCCAUCGUCUUCGUCCCAAGCGUUAAUGGCGUGAAUGAUGUUGAAUCCAGGAACCUCGAACCAUUUCAUCUCCGAUUCGUCUCCGGCGUAGCGCGGAAUCACUCCGAUCCUCGGCGUUUUUCCGUUAUCUGUACCAACCGGAGAUCCUCCUUCAAACACCAGAUCCAUCGGAUUCAUCCUCAUCCCGAGCUGAAUCUCCGCGAAAAUCGCGUGACGUUUCGUGAUCGCGAAGUCGUGUAAGAAAGACGGAGACGUCAUCGAGAAAACCGGUACGUCUCUCUGUUUCCUACCGGCGGAAUCGAACCGGAAAAACGUUAGAAAUGGCGGAACCGGACCGUACCGGAACGCGAAAGUCUCUCCGGUUUCAGGAUCGGUUUUCGGGUGAGCCGUCAUGCUCAUCGCUAACUUCCC